GAGCAGUUCCCUGGACAGUGAUCCCUCCCCCUGCAGAUAAGGAGUAAUGGGUGCAGGAAGCGCGGGGAGGCAGUGGGAGAGGAGAGAGAAG
This is a long non-coding RNA of Gopherus evgoodei (Goodes thornscrub tortoise), 91 nucleotides long. RefSeq lists it as uncharacterized. NCBI's taxonomy places the organism in Eukaryota, Metazoa, Chordata, Testudines, Testudinidae. The record is from RefSeq and is a predicted model, not a curated record. The transcript is spliced from 3 exons.